This 786-nucleotide long non-coding RNA is filed under the name Rattus norvegicus (Norway rat). RNAcentral's name for it is "long non-coding RNA NONRATT003716". Lineage: Eukaryota; Metazoa; Chordata; Mammalia; Rodentia; Muridae. The record is from RNAcentral.
ACAAGCUACCAUCCAAGCUAACCACCAGCAGGAGAAAAGCAUGGAGGAGGGCGACGGCUGUCCAAACAACUUCAGCAACCUUCAUCCUCUGUCCCCGGGAAUGGGUCAGAACAGGGAAGCGGCAGGAGGAGCGAUGCGGGCGCCUUAGGAACGGGAACUCCUUUCCCCAACUUCCGCCCCUGGGGAAAAGCUGAAGCCAUCAGCUCCAGGAGAGCGGCUCUCCAAUUCUCAGCCUUUAGGUUCUGGCUCUGGAGACAGCCUGUCCUCCCGGUAUCGCCGGCGCCGCUGUACCCCCGCUGUAGACUAGCGGAUUGCAGGCAAAACUGAGUGAAAUGCUGGCUUCAUUCUCUUACUGAUCUCUGCGAAAGGAUCCUGGGGGUAGCAGUUUUGGAAGCGUGCUCCCCCCUACUGCAAAGUCUAGACCUCCUGAAUCAGAAAGCCUCAACUCAGAAGCCGCUGCUCUGCUCUGUGUUUUGCCAUGCCUAGUCUGGAGCUUCUGAUGCAAGGGAGUGUUGGAGAACUGAUGCUCUCAGGCCCUACAUCCAGGACCCUCCUCAGGGUGGCUGAGAAGGAAACUACCAGCACAUGUGAAUUACUGACUCUCAGAGCUGCUAUGCACUUCCAAGCUGGUUUCAGGGAUGACACCCACAUUCUUAUAGUGUUGGACAUUCACCGUAUCUAUAAUUUACCAGUGUUUUGUGGCUGGUUAAUGAGCUCUCAUUGUUUUAAUGUGGAUUUAUGUAAUUCUUAGUGAAUUGGGGCUGUUACUAAUGUUAUUUAGUUGUU